GUCGAGGGGCAGCAUGAAAGUUUGCUUGCAAACUUUUGAUGGCGACCGGCGCACGGGUGAGUAACACGUAUCCAACCUGCCUCAUACUCGGGGAUAGCCUUUCGAAAGAAAGAUUAAUACCCGAUGUCAUAGUCCUACCGCAUGAUGGGAUUAUUAAAGAAUUUCGGUAUGGGAUGGGGAUGCGUUCCAUUAGUUAGUUGGCGGGGUGACGGCCCACCAAGACAACGAUGGAUAGGGGUUCUGAGAGGAAGGUCCCCCACAUUGGAACUGAGACACGGUCCAAACUCCUACGGGAGGCAGCAGUGAGGAAUAUUGGUCAAUGGACGAGAGUCUGAACCAGCCAAGUAGCGUGAAGGAUGACUGCCCUAUGGGUUGUAAACUUCUUUUAUAUGGGAAUAAAACGUUCCACGUGUGGAAUUUUGUAUGUACCAUAUGAAUAAGGAUCGGCUAACUCCGUGCCAGCAGCCGCGGUAAUACGGAGGAUCCGAGCGUUAUCCGGAUUUAUUGGGUUUAAAGGGAGCGUAGGUGGAUUGUUAAGUCAGUUGUGAAAGUUUGCGGCUCAACCGUAAAAUUGCAGUUGAAACUGGCAGUCUUGAGUACAGUAGAGGUGGGCGGAAUUCGUGGUGUAGCGGUGAAAUGCUUAGAUAUCACGAAGAACUCCGAUUGCGAAGGCAGCUCACUGGACUGCAACUGACACUGAGGCUCGAAAGUGUGGGUAUCAAACAGGAUUAGAUACCCUGGUA
RNAcentral lists this ribosomal RNA (743 nucleotides) under uncultured bacterium. RNAcentral's name for it is "bacterial SSU rRNA". It matches the Rfam family "Bacterial small subunit ribosomal RNA", at positions 61 to 792 of the family's 1533-position model. The record is from RNAcentral.